Molecule: ribosomal RNA, 500 nt
Filed under: uncultured bacterium
Lineage: Bacteria
Description: partial 16S ribosomal RNA
Rfam family: Bacterial small subunit ribosomal RNA
Source: RNAcentral
GACGAACGCUGGCGGCGUGCUUAACACAUGCAAGUCGAACGGGUCUGCCCUGUUUUUUGCGGGGUGGGUCAGUGGCGAACGGGUGAGUAACACGUGAGUAACCUGCCCCUCACUUCUGGAUAACCGCUUGAAAGGGUGGCUAAUACGGGGUGUUCUGGCUGUGCCGCAUGGUGUGGCUGGGAAAGAUUCACUUUUGUGGUGUUUUGGUGGGGGAUGGGCUCGCGGCCUAUCAGCUUGUUGGUGGGGUGAUGGCCUGCCAAGGCUUUGACGGGUAGCCGGCCUGAGAGGGUGGGCGGUCACACUGGGACUGAGAUACGGCCCAGACUCCUGCGGGAGGCAGCAGUGGGGGGUAUUGCACAAUGGGCGGAAGCCUGAUGCAGCGACGUCGCGGGAGGGAUGGAGGCCUGCGGGUUGUGAACCUCUUUCGCCGGUGAAGAAGGUCCUGCUCUUUGUGGUGGGGUUGACGGUAGCCGGGUUAUGAAGCGCCGGCUAACUACGUG